Molecule: ribosomal RNA, 467 nt
Filed under: uncultured bacterium
Lineage: Bacteria
Description: bacterial SSU rRNA
Rfam family: Bacterial small subunit ribosomal RNA
Source: RNAcentral
GACGAACGCUGGCGGCGUGCCUAACACAUGCAAGUCGAACGGGGCAUCGAGAGCUUGCUUUUGAUGCUUAGUGGCGAACGGGUGAGUAACGCGUGAGAAACCUGCCUCUCAGUGGGGGACAACAGUUGGAAACGACUGCUAAUACCGCAUAAUGUAUUCGGAGGGCAUCCUUUGGAUACCAAAGCUUUAUGUGCUGAGAGAUGGUCUCGCGUCUGAUUAGCUAGAUGGCGGGGUAACGGCCCACCAUGGCGACGAUCAGUAGCCGGUCUGAGAGGAUGAACGGCCACAUUGGAACUGAGAAACGGUCCAGACUCCUACGGGAGGCAGCAGUGGGGAAUAUUGGGCAAUGGGCGAAAGCCUGACCCAGCGACGCCGCGUGAAGGAAGAAGGUCUUCGGAUUGUAAACUUUUGUCAACAGGGAAGAAGAAGUGACGGUACCUGUUAAGAAAGCCACGGCUAACUACGUG